GGGCCCAUAGCUCAGUGGUUAGAGCAGUCGGCUCAUAACCGAAAGGUCCCAGGUUCGAACCCCGGUGGGCCCACCA
Molecule: transfer RNA, 76 nt
Filed under: Candidatus Babeliales bacterium
Lineage: Bacteria; Candidatus Babeliae; Candidatus Babeliales
Description: tRNA-Ile
Rfam family: tRNA
About the family: Transfer RNA (tRNA) molecules are approximately 80 nucleotides in length. Their secondary structure includes four short double-helical elements and three loops (D, anti-codon, and T loops).
Source: RNAcentral